Non-coding RNA from Oreochromis niloticus (Nile tilapia), 407 nucleotides. The record is from the annotation of a RefSeq genome assembly. NCBI's taxonomy places the organism in Eukaryota, Metazoa, Chordata, Actinopteri, Cichliformes, Cichlidae.
UAAAAAUUUGACAGCAAACUGUCAGUUUGGUUCACAGCAGAUCAGUUACAACAUAAAACAUGUUUUCUGUGGCUCUCCUGCUGCUUUUGGCUGCUGGAUCCUGUGUGCAAUGUGAGCAGCUGACACAACCAGCUUAUGUGACUAAGCAGCCAGGUCAGCGUCUGACCAUCACCUGUCAGGUCUCUUAUUCUGUGGGCAGCUACUACACAGCUUGGAUCAGACAGCCUGCAGGGAAAGGACUGGAGUGGAUUGGUAGCAAAUAUACUGGAGCUUCAUACUACAAAGAUUCACUGAAGAGCAAGUUUAGUAUAGACUUAGACUCUUCCAGCAAGACAGUGACUCUAAAUGGACAGAAUAUGCAGCCUGAAGACACUGCUGUGUAUUACUGUGCCAGAGACCCACAGUAA